CUACGUAGGGUGCGAGCGUUAAUCGGAAUUACUGGGCGUAAAGCGUGCGCAGGCGGUGAUGUAAGACAGAUGUGAAAUGCCCGGGCUCAACCUGGGACCUGCAUAUGUGACUGGAUAGCUAGAGUACGGUAGAGGGGGAUGGAAUUCCGCGUGUAGCAGUGAAAUGCGUAGAUAUGCGGAGGUACACCGAUGGCGAAGGCAAUCCCCUGGACCUGUACUGACGCUCAUGCACGAAAGCGUGGGGAGCAAACAGGAUUAGAUACCCUGGUAGUCCACGCCCUAAACGAUGUCAACUGGUUGUUGGGUCUUCACUGACUCAGUAACGAAGCUAACGCGUGAAGUUGACCGCCUGGGGAGUACGGCCGCAAGGUUGAAACUCAAAUGAAUUGACGGGG
RNAcentral lists this ribosomal RNA (395 nucleotides) under uncultured bacterium. Its description in RNAcentral is "partial 16S ribosomal RNA". It matches the Rfam family "Bacterial small subunit ribosomal RNA", at positions 523 to 918 of the family's 1533-position model. The record is from RNAcentral.